CAGAGUUUUCUAACUCCCAAACCCUUUGUGAACUUACCAUUCUGUUGCCUCGGCGGGCCUCUGGGAUUCGUCCCACGUCCGCCGAUGGCCCCUAUAAACUCUGUUACUUAUAAGCAAUCUGAGCGUUUUCCAAAAAUAAAGUUA
RNAcentral lists this unclassified non-coding RNA (144 nucleotides) under uncultured Ascomycota. Its description in RNAcentral is "sequence contains ITS1". Lineage: Eukaryota; Fungi; Ascomycota. The record is from RNAcentral.